UAAUCCUGUGGAUGGACUGCAGCGAGUCCUUUUGCAGUUAUCCAUCAAAAAGAUAUGCAGACAUAAUGGAAAUGGCAUUUACAUUGUAGAGCUUGGACGAAGUUCACACAGGCUCUGCGCAGGAAUUCAUCAAGGACAUAACUGCUGGGAUUACGCUUGUGGAUGACCAAACUGAGCACCAUCAGUCUGCAGUGAUGUGAUCCAGCCAUCCAGUGACAUUAAGGAUGUUGAGAAAGAAAUUGAAGAGGGCAUUCUGAUUGUAACUGAGGAACAUCAAUGUGAUGUGCUUCCCAAGGAAUAACCAACAUUGGUCUCAUUUGGACAUCCUGUCAUCACUGACAUCUCCCAUGUCCCCAAGGUAUUUGGACUCCUAAUGGGUCUGUAUGCAGUGAACAUCCACCACCUCCAGCGCAUUAAAUACACCAUUGAGGCUCUGCAAAAACUUGUGAAGACCAGCUGCUCCCACCGUGUGCUCGCUACAGCGGCAGCAACUGUAGGUGUGGUGGAGUGAAUGUCCAGUGCUCUCUCCACCCUCAACACCACAAAUAAGGUGUCCUUGAGCAAGGCACAACUUCUCCCCGGGUACUGCAGCAUAAAUGGCUGCCCACUGCUCUGGGUGUGUGUUCACGGUGUGUGUUCACUGCUGUGUGUGUGCACUUUAGAUGGGUUAAAUGAAGAGCACAAAUGUAUGUCAUGUCACUUUCACUUUUCAGUGUUCAUGAUGUGUCCAUCGGCUCCACCGCACUCUUUCUUAAAAAGUAGUGUUUUUUUUUUUUUUAUAAGGAAAGGUUCUUUUGUGCCUUUCACUAUAUAGAAUGUACAUUAAAGUUUACAUGUCGUGACUUGGAAUAUGCAUGUUCUCAUGUAAACAAAUGUUGUUUCCCCUCUCAUUUUCUUAAACAGUAUGUACACAUUUUCAGUAUGUAGCAUUAUGAUGGGGGACGAGUUUGGAAACUUUCAAGAUCCUUCUGAUGUUAACACUUCUGUCUGGUCAUGUUGUGCUAUGAAAUUUAGAAUCUGACUUUAGAUCUUUGUGCUUCCAUGUGCAUUCAUUCCAUUUAUAUCUUAUUAUACAGAAAUACAGUACACUCAUUUUUUGUAACUAAUUGUGAUGUUAUAUACAUAUAUCUUGGUUUCUCAUUUUGACCAUGACUUGCAUUAUGGUGGGGGGAGUGCAUGUGAACUUGUGCAGGGUUAAUAUGCAGAGUUCAACCUUCUGAUUUUCAUAUUGAGUUAUGAAAUUAAAAACAAUCCCUGUGGUUUUGAUCUGAUGAAUUGAAAUGCAACUAUUUGUUUCUCAAUCCCAUGCCAAUGUUAUUUAUUAUACAUCACACUUUCAAGUGUUGGUUCAGAUCUUUA
Molecule: long non-coding RNA, 1359 nt
Organism: Carassius gibelio (silver crucian carp)
Lineage: Eukaryota; Metazoa; Chordata; Actinopteri; Cypriniformes; Cyprinidae
Exons: 3
Source: RefSeq, a predicted model, not a curated record